Non-coding RNA from Chrysemys picta bellii (western painted turtle), 246 nucleotides. Lineage: Eukaryota; Metazoa; Chordata; Testudines; Emydidae. The record is from RefSeq and is a predicted model, not a curated record.
AACAUCAGAAGACCAGUAUGGAACACCAUCAUCACAGAAUUCAUCUGGAGCCAUUUGUACCUACUGGAGGCGUCAGGAUCGAUGCCAAUGCACCCCCAAGUGUGGACAGAACAUACAUACACCCCCAUUAAGCCCUAGAACCUUGUUCCACUUUGAAUUUGCCCCAUGCAAAUGUUCAUAAUCCUCCUAUCACAUGGAUAGUGAAACUGAGAUUUUCAAGGGUGCCUUUCCAGCGCAUCAUCAAGG